GACGAACGCUGGCGGCGUGCUUAACACACGCAAGUCGAACGGUGAAGCGCUUGCCUUUUUGGUGGGUGUGGAUGAGUGGCGAACGGGUGAGUAACACGUGAGUAACCUGCCCUCUUCUUCUGGAUAACCUCAUGAAAGUGGGGCUAAUACGUGGUAUUCCGGGUCUGUCGCAUUGCGGGUUUGGGAAAGAUUGCGCCUUUGGGUGUUUUCGGUGGGGGAUUGGCUCGCGGCCUAUCAGCUUGUUGGUGGGGUGAUGGCCUACCAAGGCGGUGACGGGUAGCCGGCCUGAGAGGGUGGACGGCCAGACUGGGACUGAGACACGGCACAGACUCGUGAGGGAGGCAGCAGUGGGGAAUAUUGCACAAUGGGCGCAAGCCUGAUGCAGCGACGCCGCGUGAGGGAUGGAGGCCUUCGGGUUGUGAACCUCUUUCGACAGUGAAGCAGGCCUGCCUCGUUUGUGGGUGGGUUGACGGUAGCUGGAUAAGAAGCGCCGGCUAACUACGUG
Molecule: ribosomal RNA, 505 nt
Filed under: uncultured bacterium
Lineage: Bacteria
Description: partial 16S ribosomal RNA
Rfam family: Bacterial small subunit ribosomal RNA
Source: RNAcentral